This 253-nucleotide ribosomal RNA is filed under the name uncultured bacterium. RNAcentral describes it as "partial 16S ribosomal RNA". It matches the Rfam family "Bacterial small subunit ribosomal RNA", at positions 524 to 776 of the family's 1533-position model. The record is from RNAcentral.
UACAGAGGGUGCGAGCGUUAAUCGGAUUUACUGGGCGUAAAGGGCGCGUAGGCGGUAAUGUAAGUGAGAUGUGAAAUCCCUGGGCUUAACCUAGGAACUGCAUCUCAUACUGCAUAGCUAGAGUAUUGUAGAGGGUAGUGGAAUUUCCGGUGUAGCGGUGAAAUGCGUAGAGAUCGGAAGGAACACCAGUGGCGAAGGCGGCUACCUGGACAAAUACUGACGCUGAUGCGCGAGAGCGUGGGGAGCAAACAGG